GAAAUACUCCCUCCGUCCCAAAAUUCUUGUCUUAGAUUUGUCUAAAUACAGAUGUAUCAAGUCACGUUUUGGCAUUAGAUACAUCCGUAUCUAGACUAAUCUAAGACAAGAAUUUUGGGACGGAGGGAGUAUAAG
Molecule: non-coding RNA, 135 nt
Organism: Triticum aestivum (bread wheat)
Lineage: Eukaryota; Viridiplantae; Streptophyta; Magnoliopsida; Poales; Poaceae
Source: Rfam